UACGUAGGGUGCGAGCGUUAAUCGGAAUUACUGGGCGUAAAGCGUGCGCAGGCGGUUAUGCAAGACAGAUGUGAAAUCCCCGGGCUUAACCUGGGAACUGCAUUUGUGACUGCAUAGCUAGAGUGUGUCAGAGGGGGGUAGAAUUCCACGUGUAGGCAGUGAAAUGCGUAGAUAUGUGGAGGAAUACCGAUGGCGAAGGCAGCCCCCUGGGAUAACACUGACGCCUCAUGCACGAAAGCGUGGGGAGCAAACAGGA
This 256-nucleotide ribosomal RNA is filed under the name uncultured bacterium. Its description in RNAcentral is "partial 16S ribosomal RNA". It matches the Rfam family "Bacterial small subunit ribosomal RNA", at positions 524 to 777 of the family's 1533-position model. The record is from RNAcentral.